AUGUAUGGGAGUCAGACUGCACGAGAUAAGUUGGGUAGUCAAAAGGGAAAGAGCCCAGACCUACAGCUAAGGUCCCAAAGUGUGUGUUAAGUGGAAAAGGAUGUGGGAUUUCAAAGACAACUAGGAUGUUGGCUCAGAAGCAGCCACACAUUCAAAGAGUGCGUAAUAGCUCACUAGUCGAGAGGUCCUGCGCCGAAAAUGUCCGGGGCUGAAACACAACACCGAAGCUUAGGAAUGUAUGUAAGUACAUUGGUAGAGGAGCAUUCUUAAAGGGGUGAAGCAGUACCGAUAAGGAGCUGUGGACUUUUAAGAAGAGAGAAUGCCGGAAUGAGUAGCGAGAUGGAGGUGGGAAUCCUCCAGGCCGAAUAUCCAAGGUUUCCAGAGUAAAGCUGAUCUGCUCUGGGUAAGUCGGGGCCUAAGGCGAGGCUGAGAGGCGUAGUCGAUGGACAACAGGUUGAAAUUCCUGUACCAUGUAUCAUCAGAACUGUGGGGACACAGAAGGACAACACAUCCCGGGAAUGGGAAUACCGGGGCAAGCGAGGUAGGAGUACGGUUGGCAAAUCCGCCGUGCAAUCCGAAGACGUGACGCGCAGCGAACUAAAGUAGCGAAGUGUGUGAUUCCGGCUGUCAAGAAAAGCCGCUAUUGUGUGAUACAUGCCCGUACCGUAAACCGACACAGGUAGAUGAGGAGAGAAUCCUAAGGCCGGCGGGAGAAGCAUUGUUAAGGAACUCGGCAAAAUGACCCCGUAACUUCGGGAGAAGGGGUGCCACAGAGAUGUGGCCGCAGAGAAUAGGCUCAAGCAACUGUUUAGCAAAAACACAGGUCUAUGCAAAACCGUAAGGUGAGGUAUAUGGGCUGACGCCUGCCCGGUGCUGGAAGGUUAAGAGGAGAGGUUAGAGCAAUCGAAGCUUUGAAUUUAAGCCCCAGUAAACGGCGGCCGUAACUAUAACGGUCCUAAGGUAGCGAAAUUCCUUGUCGGGUAAGUUCCGACCCGCACGAAAGGCGUAAUGAUUUGAGCGCUGUCUCAACAAUGCACCCGGUGAAAUUGAAAUACCAGUGAAGAUGCUGGUUACCUGCGCCAGGACGGAAAGACCCCAUGGAGCUUUACUCCAGUUUGAUACUGGGAUUCGGUAUUGCAUGUACAGGAUAGGUGGGAGGCUAAGAAACAUGGACGCCAGUCUGUGUGGAGCCAAUGUUGGGAUACCACCCUUGCGAUAUUGGGUUUCUAACCUGCGCCCGUGACCCGGGCGGGGGACAAUGUCAGGCGGGGAGUUUGACUGGGGCGGUCGCCUCCGAAAGGGUAUCGGAGGCGCUCAAAGGUUCCCUCAGGAUGGUUGGAAACCAUCCAAAGAGUGCAAAGGCAUAAGGGAGCUUGACUGCGACACCGACGGGUGGAGCAGGUACGAAAGUAGGACUUAGUGAUCCGGUGGUAUGAAAGUGGGAUUGCCAUCGCUCAACGGAUAAAAGCUACCCUGGGGAUAACAGGCUUAUCACUCCCAAGAGUUCACAUCGACGGAGUGGUUUGGCACCUCGAUGUCGGCUCAUCGCAUCCUGGGGCUGUAGCAGGUCCCAAGGGUUGGGCUGUUCGCCCAUUAAAGCGGUACGCGAGCUGGGUUCAGAACGUCGUGAGACAGUUCGGUCCCUAUCCGGCGCGGGCGUAGGAUAUCUGAGAGGAGCUGUCCUUAGUACGAGAGGACCGGGAUGGACAGACCGCUGGUGUACCUGUUGGCUUACCAAGGCCAUGGCAGGGUAGCCAAGUCUGGACGGGAUAAACGCUGAAGGCAUCUAAGCGUGAAGCCCCCCUCAAGAUGAGAUAUCCCAUCGCGAAAGCGAGUAAGACCCCUUGAAGACGACGAGGUAGAUAGGUUAGAGGUGGAAGUGCAGUAAUGUACGGAGCUGACUAAUACUAAUCGGUCGAGGGCUUAUCCAA
This 1931-nucleotide ribosomal RNA is filed under the name [Clostridium] clostridioforme 90A7. RNAcentral describes it as "bacterial LSU rRNA". It matches the Rfam family "Bacterial large subunit ribosomal RNA", at positions 973 to 2925 of the family's 2925-position model. Lineage: Bacteria; Bacillati; Bacillota; Clostridia; Lachnospirales; Lachnospiraceae. The record is from RNAcentral.